CUCCGGGUGUGGGCUAAUACAAGACCGGCUUGCCGGGAAUAUGCCCGCCGUUCCAAGGACGGUUUUGAGCACCCGGAGUUUUCUAU
Molecule: small RNA, 86 nt
Organism: Bilophila wadsworthia 3_1_6
Lineage: Bacteria; Pseudomonadati; Thermodesulfobacteriota; Desulfovibrionia; Desulfovibrionales; Desulfovibrionaceae
Rfam family: sRNA-Xcc1
Source: Rfam